RNAcentral lists this long non-coding RNA (409 nucleotides) under Lathyrus oleraceus (garden pea). RNAcentral describes it as "Pisum sativum (pea) long non-coding RNA (PSAT_LNC026824)". Lineage: Eukaryota; Viridiplantae; Streptophyta; Magnoliopsida; Fabales; Fabaceae. The record is from RNAcentral.
CUACUCAUUUUUUCUUUCCAUGCCCCUUGGCAGUCAUCAUUCCACCUGACCAUUUGAUUUCUUUUCUCUCUUUUUUUGUUUGUUUUUGGUUCAGGCGUUUCUUGCACUGUUUUUUUUCUUUUUUUUUUUUUGCAGGAAAAACCUCGAUUCCUCUUUCAUUCACAACAUGCCUCGGCAGCUUGCUGGACAGCACUCCAUAAGUGCACUGACUUAGACUCAACAGUAUGAGUUAUCUCCACCGGUCAAACAACUUGAUCAAGUCCACCGGGUGCCCCUCUUCUGCUUGGGACUUUGUCAUCAUGUCAUCAACAUGGCAUUCGCUUUCACGAUGAGUCAUAUCAUGAAACAAAGUCACCGUAGCCCUUUGAUUCGUGGCACCGGCCUUCUUCUUCACUAGAGGAUAGUCUUC